Molecule: transfer RNA, 73 nt
Filed under: Schistosoma mansoni
Lineage: Eukaryota; Metazoa; Platyhelminthes; Trematoda; Strigeidida; Schistosomatidae
Source: RNAcentral
AAAGUGAUGUGUUGGCUGAAUACUUGCACUUUGUUUGACGGUUAGUUAAGUUUGUUCUAUCGAAUCGGUCUGC